GAUGAACGCUGGCGGCGUGCCUAAUACAUGCAAGUCGAGCGAACGGACGAGAAGCUUGCUUCUCUGAUGUUAGCGGCGGACGGGUGAGUAACACGUGGAUAACCUACCUAUAAGACUGGGAUAACUUCGGGAAACCGGAGCUAAUACCGGAUAAUAUUUUGAACCGCAUGGUUCAAAAGUGAAAGACGGUCUUGCUGUCACUUAUAGAUGGAUCCGCGCUGCAUUAGCUAGUUGGUAAGGUAACGGCUCACCAAGGCAACGAUGCAUAGCCGACCUGAGAGGGUGAUCGGCCACACUGGAACUGAGACACGGUCCAGACUCCUACGGGAGGCAGCAGUAGGGAAUCUUCCGCAAUGGGCGAAAGCCUGACGGAGCAACGCCGCGUGAGUGAUGAAGGUCUUCGGAUCGUAAAACUCUGUUAUUAGGGAAGAAUAUAUGUGUAAGUAACUGUGCACAUCUUGACGGUACCUAAUCAGAAAGCCACGGCUAACUACGUG
This 497-nucleotide ribosomal RNA is filed under the name uncultured bacterium. RNAcentral's name for it is "partial 16S ribosomal RNA". It matches the Rfam family "Bacterial small subunit ribosomal RNA", at positions 28 to 507 of the family's 1533-position model. The record is from RNAcentral.